This 449-nucleotide ribosomal RNA is filed under the name uncultured bacterium. RNAcentral's name for it is "bacterial SSU rRNA". It matches the Rfam family "Bacterial small subunit ribosomal RNA", at positions 328 to 793 of the family's 1533-position model. The record is from RNAcentral.
UGUCCAGACUCCUACGGGAGGCAGCAGUGGGGGAUAUUGCACAAUGGGGGAAACCCUGAUGCAGCGACACCGCGUGGGUGAGGAAGCGCUUCGGCGUGUAAAGCCCUAUCAGUGGGGAAGAAAAAGGACGGUACCCAAAGAAGAAGCACCGGCUAAAUACGUGCCAGCAGCCGCGGUAAUACGUAUGGUGCAAGCGUUAUCCGGAAUGACUGGGUGUAAAGGGAGCGUAGACGGCAGUGCAAGUCUGGAGUGAAAGGCGGGGGCUCAACCCCCGGACUGCUCUGGAAACUGUACGGCUGGAGUGCAGGAGAGGUAAGUGGAAUUCCUAGUGUAGCGGUGAAAUGCGUAGAUAUUAGGAGGAGCACCAGUGGCGAAGGCGGCUUACUGGACUGUAACUGACGUUGAGGCUCGAAAGCGUGGGGAGCAAACAGGAUUAGAUACCCUAGUAC